Molecule: ribosomal RNA, 253 nt
Filed under: uncultured bacterium
Lineage: Bacteria
Description: partial 16S ribosomal RNA
Rfam family: Bacterial small subunit ribosomal RNA
Source: RNAcentral
UACGGAGGGAGCAAGCGUUACUCGGAAUUAUUGGGCGUAAAGGGCGCGUAGGCGAUCUGAAAAGUUCUGUGUGAAAGCCCACAUGUUAACUGUGGAAGUGCACAGAAAACUGUUGGAUUUGAGUUCAGGAGAGGAAGGCAGAAUUCCCGGUGUAGCGGUGAAAUGCGUAGAGAUCGGGAGGAAUACCAGUGGCGAAGGCGGCUCUCUGGGACGGUACUGACGCUGAGACGCGAAAGCGUGGGGAGCGAACAGG